RNAcentral lists this transfer RNA (118 nucleotides) under Ophiocordyceps sinensis. It matches the Rfam family "tRNA". Rfam says of the family: Transfer RNA (tRNA) molecules are approximately 80 nucleotides in length. Their secondary structure includes four short double-helical elements and three loops (D, anti-codon, and T loops). RNAcentral also lists the same sequence under 1 other name. The record is from Rfam by way of RNAcentral. Lineage: Eukaryota; Fungi; Ascomycota; Sordariomycetes; Hypocreales; Ophiocordycipitaceae.
GGUCCUGUAGUUCAGUUGGUAGAUCAUUGGACUAAUAUUUCCAGAUUGGAAGGCGUCACAGCCCCUUUCCAGAAUAUUAGCUACCCAAGGGUCCUGGGUUCGAGCCCCAGCGGGACCA